Molecule: ribosomal RNA, 254 nt
Filed under: uncultured bacterium
Lineage: Bacteria
Description: partial 16S ribosomal RNA
Rfam family: Bacterial small subunit ribosomal RNA
Source: RNAcentral
UACAGAGGUCUCAAGCGUUGUUCGGAUUCAUUGGGCGUAAAGGGUGCGUAGGUGGCGGGGUAAGUCAGGUGUGAAAUCUCGGGGCUCAACCCCGAAACUGCACUUGAUACUGCCUUGCUCGAGUACUGGAGAGGAGAUUGGAAUUUACGGUGUAGCAGUGAAAUGCGUAGAUAUCGUAAGGAAGACCAGUGGCGAAGGCGAAUCUCUGGACAGUUACUGACACUGAGGCACGAAGGCCAGGGGAGCAAAACGGG